UUUUUCUUGCUACUAAGGUUUGGAAUGAUUUUUACCAUCAAAUUGACAACACAAUCAGAUUUGGUAGUUCAUCUACCGCUGCCAUGUAUUAUACAUAGUUUACUAUGGUGUGAGUUUUGUUCUUAUUUCAAGUGAUGAACGUAUAUUUACUUUGGAAUCAUACCUCAAGAAGCAACAUUGCCGCCAUCAUAUUCUGGUUUGUCAGUUCACCUACUACCUACAUAUAGCCAGGCCUGUCGUAUCAUAGGUUAUAAUAGACCAUCGAGUGAGAGUAUAACAAGAACAGAACCCUAUUUAGAACAGGAGAACGUAUCUUGUUAUUCGGAAGAAUCAAACAAUAAUGUGUUAAAUUUUCCUAGUACGAGCAAUGACGUUCAUUUUUAAUUAAUUUGCAUUAAAAAGCAUUUUUAAAAUUAUAGUACCUUGAAUUAAAUUGCAAACUGUCAUAUUUAAAUUAAAAACCUCAAAAUGUUUUUUUAUUUGUAAAUUAUAUUAUUUGUAGAAUAUAUUUAAUGCUUAAUUGAAAAAAAUGUUAUUCCGAAAUAAUUUUAUUAAUAAAUUGUAAGAUGUU
RNAcentral lists this long non-coding RNA (571 nucleotides) under Mytilus galloprovincialis (Mediterranean mussel). Lineage: Eukaryota; Metazoa; Mollusca; Bivalvia; Mytilida; Mytilidae. The record is from RNAcentral.